UGGGGAAUUUUGGACAAUGGGGGAAACCCUGAUCCAGCCAUGCCGCGUGAGUGAAGAAGGCCUUCGGGUUGUAAAGCUCUUUUGGCCGGAAAGAAAAGGCUACGGAUAACACCUGUGGUCCUUGACGGUACCGGCAGAAUAAGCACCGGCUAACUACGUGCCAGCAGCCGCGGUAAUACGUAGGGUGCGAGCGUUAAUCGGAAUUACUGGGCGUAAAGAGUGCGUAGGCGGUUCCGCAAGUCCGCUGUGAAAGCCCCGGGCUUAACCUGGGAAUGGCAGUGGAAACUAUGGGACUUGAAUCUGGCAGAGGGGGGUGGAAUGCCACGUGUAGCAGUGAAAUGCGUAGAGAUGUGGCGGAACACCGAUGGCGAAGGCAGCCCCCUGGGCUGAGAUUGACGCUCAGGCACGAAAGCGUGGGGAGCAAACAG
RNAcentral lists this ribosomal RNA (428 nucleotides) under uncultured bacterium. RNAcentral's name for it is "bacterial SSU rRNA". It matches the Rfam family "Bacterial small subunit ribosomal RNA", at positions 355 to 775 of the family's 1533-position model. The record is from RNAcentral.